UAAAUCUUAGUUUAAUUAAAAAUUAUUCAUUUACAUUGAAUAGAUAUAGUAAAAAAAUUUAUAGAUUUGA
This 70-nucleotide transfer RNA is filed under the name Phylloecus linearis. RNAcentral describes it as "tRNA-Val". The record is from RNAcentral. Lineage: Eukaryota; Metazoa; Arthropoda; Insecta; Hymenoptera; Cephidae.